GAUGAACGCUGGCGGCGUGCCUAAUACAUGCAAGUCGAGCGAACAGACGAGGAGCUUGCUCCUUUGACGUUAGCGGCGGACGGGUGAGUAACACGUGGGUAACCUACCUAUAAGACUGGGAUAACUUCGGGAAACCGGAGCUAAUACCGGAUAAUAUUUCGAACCGCAUGGUUCGAUAGUGAAAGAUGGCUUUGCUAUCACUUAUAGAUGGACCUGCGCCGUAUUAGCUAGUUGGUAAGGUAACGGCUUACCAAGGCAACGAUACGUAGCCGACCUGAGAGGGUGAUCGGCCACACUGGAACUGAGACACGGUCCAGACUCCUAUGGGAGGCAGCAGUAGGGAAUCUUCCGCAAUGGGCGAAAGCCUGACGGAGCAACGCCGCGUGAGUGAUGAAGGUCUUCGGAUCGUAAAACUCUGUUAUUAGGGAAGAACAAACGUGUAAGUAACUGUGCACGUCUUGACGGUACCUAAUCAGAAAGCCACGGCUAACUACGUG
Molecule: ribosomal RNA, 497 nt
Filed under: uncultured bacterium
Lineage: Bacteria
Description: partial 16S ribosomal RNA
Rfam family: Bacterial small subunit ribosomal RNA
Source: RNAcentral